AAGGUCCAAAUGAUUCAACAGUGUGACAUGGGAGGUAAAACAGUGAAUGCAAUCUCUGGCUAUGUUAAAAAGAAAAAGUGUCCAAAGGGAGGGCAGUUAUAGCUCUGCUAUACUAUACUAUACUAUACUAUACAGUAUUUGGCUUUAUUCACAUCCCAACUAGAAUCCUCUGUUCCAGGGGUGGGGAACCUUUGACCAUGAGGCUGUAUGUGACUUCAAGAUUGGAGGUUAUGUAAAAUUUGGAUUCAGUCAAAAGGCCCCACUUAAGGAUGUAGAAGGCCAUAUGUGGCCUCAAGGCUGAAGGUUCCUCACCCCUGUAGUCUGUUCAGCUCUAUAUGACCCAUUUUAGGAAAAAUAUUUGGAAUCCACCCAAAGGAAGGCAAUCAGGACAGUGUGGGGACUGGAAACCCUUUGAUUCAAGGAGCAGUUGAAAGAACUGCAGAUGAUUAGCCUGGAAAACAGAACACUGGAUUGGCAGGGGGAGGAGGGAACCUUUUGAGAAUGUAAAGGGCUGCCCUGUGGAAGACAGACUGGACUUGUUCUUUAUGGAGACAGAGGGCAGGGUCCAGAGCUACGGAUGGAAACUACAGAGACAGAUUUUGGCGGAACUAAGAAAAAAACUCCCUGACAAUAGACGCUGUCCCAAAGAGGAAGUGGAGGCGAGGAUAUUGUAGACGGAGUCGUGCAAGCAGACCUUUGCCGUCCUUUCCGAUCUCAAGAGCCUGUGAAAGCAGGAAGCAUGUUUUGCUACAAGUGGGGCAUUCCCCUGUUCCAUUUCCUUCAGUGCUUUAAAAUAUCUCUGGCUGUAAGUGGCUUCUGAGAGUAGCAGAGGGACAAAAGAAAAAGAAAAAAAAGAGGAGACUGAGAGACAUGCCUCUCAUCUAGAUUCCUUCUUACCAGCUUACAGAAACUGACUUUUUUUUUACUUCAAAGGGGAAAAAGAGCGAAUGUAACCUUUGGAAAGGAUUAGGUAGAGAACAUUCUGCCUCAUAUAAUCAAUCACCAACUGAGAUUGGAUCAAAUGAAAUAAGAAAACCUGAGGCUCUAUCCCUCAAAAUUAUGCCACCACCAGGAUGGACCUUCUCUAUGUAUACUGGGUCGAGAUAAGCGGCUCUUCCCAUCUUUGUUUUCUACAGUGCCACGGCCAUAUCUUCAUGUUGUCCAUUUGGGCCUGGAGUGUUUGGAGUCCAAAUGUGAUGUCUCCAUUGUCCUUGAUGGUGAAAAGAUUUUAUUAUAUAAAUCUUCAUAGAGUUUUUCUACUUUUACUAUUUUGUCCUCCCUUCCAGUUUCUCUGACCUACUCAAUAUUCAUGGAUGUCAUUAUCAAGUCUCCAUUGAAAUAUGCACAUUUUGCUUGCAUAGUCUGUAUUAAUUACUAUUUUUAUUAUAUUACAGUUUGUCAACCUCCUUCCAGUUUCAUCUUUAAAUAUCCUCCAGAUGUCUUUGCUUAAAUGGUUCUUUUGUCAAACUUUCUUUAAACUUGUUUUCCCUCCACUGCUUCUCACUAUUUUAUUAACCAAUAAGAUCCAUCAUCUUCUACCAUCCUCCUCUAUAAGAUUUUUAAAAUGAAUUUAUAUCUAAACUGG
Vombatus ursinus (common wombat) is the source of this 1585-nucleotide long non-coding RNA. RefSeq lists it as uncharacterized. NCBI's taxonomy places the organism in Eukaryota, Metazoa, Chordata, Mammalia, Diprotodontia, Vombatidae. The record is from RefSeq and is a predicted model, not a curated record. The transcript is spliced from 2 exons.